This is a non-coding RNA of Neurospora crassa OR74A, 978 nucleotides long. NCBI's taxonomy places the organism in Eukaryota, Fungi, Ascomycota, Sordariomycetes, Sordariales, Sordariaceae. The record is from RefSeq and is a predicted model, not a curated record.
CCUUUACCCCUUUUUCCCCUCUCCUGACAACACGAUGCUUCUCUUAGCUGCAGACGCCUGCCAUGCAGGAAGCCGAAGCUAAACCGGACAUGCAUCUCCUUCAAGAGCACAGACUCUUCAUUGCUGUUGGCUUCGUGUCUGAUUUAUUCUGUCUCUCCCGUCCGUCUGUUCGUCUCUCUGUCUGUUUGUCUGUCUGUUGUUCCGUUCUGCUGGUCUCGUCUGCCGACUGUCUGGCGGUUUUGUGCUACCAUGUCACUACCUACUUAUCAUUGUCAUGAUGGAUGAGUAGACCAGACGGGGCCAUGGAUCGGGUGUAUGAUGUGGAAUGGAUGCGGCGGGUUCUUGAAGGGAUGACGAGUGACGGAAAUCGGUGGCAUCUGACGACGUUACAGCACUCGAGUUACCUGCAUACCUGGCAAAUAACGAACCCUUACCUCUCGUCCCUUUGACAUUCGCCUCGCAUACCACAGUACAUAUAUCUCAGUGAUAUUGAAGAGGCAACAACGCCCACUUGGAGUAACAAGUCAAAAGCCACGAGGUGUUGGACCCGGUGCCCGACUUGGUAGGGAAUGUGCACUACUUCCCUUGUGCGGGCACAACGGAUCACUGAUGUGACUCGAUCCAAUCUUUGCGAGAUGAAGUAUUGUGGAACAGAAGCUAUCUUGGUUCAAGCGGUUUUCGAUCACUGAUUGACGUCAAUCUGAGGUCGUAGUCAUUGACUUGGUUUCCGAGUUGGGCGGGCUAUAAUCAGCAGAAGACGAUAGUGCCUCUUGCUAACCUGGAUACCGGAGGUUAUUCCACAAGAACCUUGAGAACGUUGCUGUCGACAAUAUCACUGUCAUCGGUGUUACCAACGUCAGCAUCCUCUCCUUCCUCUUCAACGUCAUCCACCCCAUCUUCAUCUUGGGUAUCGUAAAAAUCAGUGCCACCUCGUUGCUCUCCUUCAUCAACGACAUCACUGGUCACAUAUCUGUCGUC